This 995-nucleotide ribosomal RNA is filed under the name uncultured bacterium. RNAcentral's name for it is "bacterial SSU rRNA". It matches the Rfam family "Bacterial small subunit ribosomal RNA", at positions 356 to 1376 of the family's 1533-position model. The record is from RNAcentral.
GGGGAAUAUUGCACAAUGGGGGAAACCCUGAUGCAGCGACGCCGCGUGGAGGAAGAAGGUCUUCGGAUUGUAAACUCCUGUUGUUGAGGAAGAUAAUGACGGUACUCAACAAGGAAGUGACGGCUAACUACGUGCCAGCAGCCGCGGUAAAACGUAGGUCACAAGCGUUGUCCGGAAUUACUGGGUGUAAAGGGAGUGCAGGCGGGAAGACAAGUUGGAAGUGAAAUCCAUGGGCUCAACCCAUGAACUGCUUUCAAAACUGUUUUUCUUGAGUAGUGCAGAGGUAGGCGGAAUUCCCGGUGUAGCGGUGGAAUGCGUAGAUAUCGGGAGGAACACCAGUGGCGAAGGCGGCCUACUGGGCACCAACUGACGCUGAGGCUCGAAAGUGUGGGUAGCAAACAGGAUUAGAUACCCUGGUAGUCCACACUGUAAACGAUGAUUACUAGGUGUUGGAGGAUUGACCCCUUCAGUGCCGCAGUUAACACAAUAAGUAAUCCACCUGGGGAGUACGACCGCAAGGUUGAAACUCAAAGGAAUUGACGGGGGCCCGCACAAGCAGUGGAGUAUGUGGUUUAAUUCGACGCAACGCGAAGAACCUUACCAAGUCUUGACAUCCUGCGACGCACAUAGAAAUAUGUGUUUCCUUCGGGACGCAGAGACAGGUGGUGCAUGGUUGUCGUCAGCUCGUGUCGUGAGAUGUUGGGUUAAGUCCCGCAACGAGCGCAACCCUUAUGGUCAGUUACUACGCAAGAGGACUCUGGCCAGACUGCCGUUGACAAAACGGAGGAAGGUGGGGAUGACGUCAAAUCAUCAUGCCCUUUAUGACUUGGGCUACACACGUACUACAAUGGCGUUAAACAAAGAGAAGCAAGACCGCGAGGUGGAGCAAAACUCAGAAACAACGUCCCAGUUCGGACUGCAGGCUGCAACUCGCCUGCACGAAGUCGGAAUUGCUAGUAAUCGCAGAUCAGCAUGCUGCGGUGAAUACGUUCCCG